This is a long non-coding RNA of Magnolia sinica, 2778 nucleotides long. RefSeq lists it as uncharacterized. The record is from RefSeq and is a predicted model, not a curated record. The transcript has 3 exons. NCBI's taxonomy places the organism in Eukaryota, Viridiplantae, Streptophyta, Magnoliopsida, Magnoliales, Magnoliaceae.
GUGUAGAGGUUUGUCAUUCUUUUCUUGUUUGUAGCAGCUCUGAUCUUCACCGUAGAGUUAUUCAUGCAGCACAAACAAAGUCAUUCCUUAAUCAUGUGAGCGUCAUUAUAGUCUGUGGUGUAUGCCAACCCUUCAUGGGUGGGCUCUCUCCUAACCUUCUGAGAAUGGUUUUUUGCAGCACACAGAUUGUAUUUAGCUAUUGCUAUGUUAUUGACAUAUGGAAUGUGGAGUCUAUAGUCGAAAUUUGUGGAAUGUGGAGUCACACAAUAAAACCAAAGUUAGGGAUUCACACCUGAAACUUCCAAGAGGUAGCUAUUUUUAUUUUCUAUAGCUGAAAUGGAUCAUGUUAGUGUCCACAAUGUUUCUACAUUCAAAUGCAACCAGCCACAAGUGGGCUCUUGGAGGUAAACUUACCUUUUACGAUCAUCAUAAAUAGUAUUUAUUUUUCCUUUUUUCUACAAAAUAAUUUUUUUCUUGAAGAAUUACAUUGAACUUUAGAUUCAAUUAAAAGGAGUAGCCAUUUUGGGUAGUUAACUUUAUUUCCUAGCAUUCUGUUUCCAUAGCUUUUGCUGAGCUUUUGGAUAGCUCUUUGGAUGAGGUAUUUGCAAUUCUCUAUGUUUGAUCAAGCAUUGCUGGAUAACUCUUUGGAUGUAAUAUGGAAAACAUGAUUAGUUUCUCAUGCCUGUGAUUAUUUCCUGGCAUUUUGUUUCCAAAACGCCUUGUGUUCAUGACUGUCCUUGAUCAUUAUUCAAACACACCACCUGCACUUAAGGUAUAAUUUCGGUAUGAUUUAGUUCAUGGUGUCUGGAACCUGGAGUUUUUUGAUAAACGAGUUAUGUGAGAUUGGUGGUUUAAUUGGUGGAAAUGUGAUUUUUGGUUAUGUUUUUAAGCAAACAGACUCUAGUGGCAAGCGGCUCAAAGUUGCAGGACUCGGAGAGGAGAACGAGGACUCAAAAGCGGAGGUGGAAGCAACUUCAGGCAACGAUAACAAGCUGGUUGAACAAAGUGCUCAAUCUUCAGAGGCAGCAAAGCAAGAUUACAUCCAUGUGAGAACGAGAAGGGGUCAAGCUACUGAUAGUCAUAGUCUAGCUGAGAGGGUAGGCAUUUUUUCUUCUCUGUGUGCCUUUUUCUAGAAUACCCAACAAUGGUUUUUGAAAUGUUUGGGAUUACGACUGAUAGUUUUUGAAAACAUCUAUGCUAGUUCUGAUGGUGGACAUUUUUUUAAAAUUCCACUUGACUUUCUUGGCUCGCUUUUUUGAAAUUUGAUCCAACUUUAUCCAAGUCGUCAACGUCGUGAUCUUAUUGCAUAUGGUUUGAUACCAGAAUUUAUUGGACGGUUUCCAAUACUCGUUAGUUUGUCAGCUCUAAACGAGGACCAACUUGUUCAGGUAGUUAUCUUUGGCAUGAGCUCUGCUCUGUGUGUGUUUAUGUGGAUCUCCAUGAAUUCGGGUAGGUAUAUGAACCUUUAUAAGCUUUUAUAGUGAUGUAAUGUUAUGAUUUUGUGAUGCAUUCUGAAUUGUGAGUGGUUGAAACAACCCUAUGCUUAAGGAGCAUAUGCAAUAUUGCAUCAAUACAGAUUGGCCCAAUUGGGAAUGGAGCAUACCCCAAAUUUCAAUCUGACAGAAUGAUUCCAACCAUUCAUUUGGAUGCUACAAUCCUGAAAUCCCUCUCUCCAUUGUUUUCCAAUGGAAAAACUUGCUUCUAAGGCAUGUAAUUCAUCAAGUGAAUGCAUGCGAUUGAUGGCAAAUGGUGGAACAUUUGAACUUGGCAUUGUUGAACUUUUAGUGUCAAACUUAUCUAUCAUGGAAUAGUUCUAAUAGGAUAUAAUAGUCACUAAAAUUCCUCUAUCAUGUGCAUGGAAAUAAUGUGUGGCUAUUUGAGAUAAAUGAACUGCGUAAAUUAAAGAUGGUAGUUUGGAAUCCUCAUGAUUCAUUUGUUGUAUAUUUCAGGUUAUGUGAAGGUGGGGAGCUCUUAGAUAGAAUACUUUCCAGGUGAUUCUUUGCUGAUUAUGUUUAUUAAAUUCUGUCAUCAUGGUUUCAUUGCAUUCAAACAUGAACUCAAAAGAAUCGAUCCUGAAGCCUUUGGAAUGGACUAUUGUGUAGUUUAAAGAGGUUUCCCAAUUCCCUUAUGCAAUUUUGUUUAUUUUAUUUUAUUUUAUUUUAUUUAUUUUAUUUUAAUUUUGUUUUGCUUCUAUUAUGUUUCUGGUUAUUUUAAUCAAAAUUCUCUAGGAUUAGACUUUUAGGACUGUAACAGCCUGUUACCUCUCAUGACUUCUAUUAUUCCUUCCCAAUCCAAAUUGCCUAGAACUUCUGUUUAUACAUAUAUAAUACUUGGUUUUGGUUGUGGCAAUUAAUUGCAUGUAUUAGGAGAAAAGGUUUCCAUGGUUCCUUACUACCAAGCAGUUGCCAGAACUAAAGAGGAAAGGUAGCCCACUAGUUGGAAUUUCUGAUAUAACUUGUGACAUUAAAGGUUCAAUAGAAUUUAUUAACCAGACCGCUUAAUUGGAGAGGCCUUUCUUCGGAUAUUAUUCUAGUGUUUCAUGGUAAAAAGUAAAGGAAAGAAAAGAGAAAUUCAAUAUCCUGCAUUGUUCUCUAGAUUUGCAAAGAGGAAAUUACAUGAGUUUGUUUAUCUCGGGAAUCAACUACAGGUUUCGUAUGCUCCUCAGUUCGAGUCUCUUUCUGAUAUGAAGGAGAAAUUGGAAGGCAAGGGAAAAGAAGUUCUAAGCCGACUAAACUCUAGAAGAUCCAAAGGAUCAGAGCCUUCCAAGCAAAUGUAAUG